GAUGAACGCUAGCUACAGGCUUAACACAUGCAAGUCGAACGGAACUCAUUGGAUCGAGACUUCGGUCAAGUGAAUCUGAGUUUAGUGGCGGACGGGUGAGUAACGCGUGGGUAACCUGCCUCGUACAGGGGGAUAACAGUUAGAAAUGACUGCUAAUACCGCAUAACCCGCUAAGGUCGCAUGACCUGGACGGAAAAGAUUUAUCGGUACGAGAUGGACCCGCGUCUGAUUAGCUGGUUGGUGAGGUAACGGCUCACCAAGGCGACGAUCAGUAGCCGACCUGAGAGGGUGAUCGGCCACAUUGGAACUGAGACACGGUCCAAACUCCUACGGGAGGCAGCAGUGGGGAAUAUUGCACAAUGGGCGAAAGCCUGAUGCAGCAACGCCGCGUGAGCGAAGAAGGCCUUCGGGUUGUAAAGCUCUGUCCUUAGGGAAGAUAAUGACGGUACCUGAGGAGGAAGCCCCGGCUAACUACGUG
This 478-nucleotide ribosomal RNA is filed under the name uncultured bacterium. RNAcentral's name for it is "bacterial SSU rRNA". It matches the Rfam family "Bacterial small subunit ribosomal RNA", at positions 28 to 507 of the family's 1533-position model. The record is from RNAcentral.